Molecule: ribosomal RNA, 253 nt
Filed under: uncultured bacterium
Lineage: Bacteria
Description: partial 16S ribosomal RNA
Rfam family: Bacterial small subunit ribosomal RNA
Source: RNAcentral
CACGUAGGGUGCGAGCGUUGUCCGGAAUUAUUGGGCGUAAAGGGCGCGUAGGCGGCCCGGUAAGUCAAAGGUGAAAUCCCUCGGCUCAACUGAGGAACUGCCUUUGAAACUGUCGGGCUUGAGGCCGGGAGGGGGUAGCGGAAUUCCCAGUGUAGCGGUGAAAUGCGUAGAUAUUGGGAGGAACACCGGUGGCGAAGGCGGCUACCUGGACCGGUUCUGACGCUGAUGCGCGAAAGCGUGGGUAGCAAACAGG